UACGGGGGGGGCAAGCGUUGUUCGGAAUUACUGGGCGUAAAGGGCUCGUAGGCGGCCAACUAAGUCCGACGUGAAAUCCCCAGGCUUAACCUGGGAACUGCGUCGGAUACUGGAUGGCUUGAAUCCGGGAGAGGGAUGCGGAAUUCCAGGUGUAGCGGUGAAAUGCGUAGAUAUCUGGAGGAACACCGGUGGCGAAGGCGGCAUCCUGGACCGGUAUUGACGCUGAUGAGCGAAAGCCAGGGGAGCAAACGGG
RNAcentral lists this ribosomal RNA (253 nucleotides) under uncultured bacterium. RNAcentral describes it as "partial 16S ribosomal RNA". It matches the Rfam family "Bacterial small subunit ribosomal RNA", at positions 524 to 776 of the family's 1533-position model. The record is from RNAcentral.